CCAAUCUUUUUAGCGAGCCUUGGCUUUGCCCAUGGUCUUGCAAAAAACUACCCUGUAUUUAAAACCCGCUCAUAAAUUAUAAAUUAUAUAAAUUAGUUAUUAUGAUAAUAAAGA
This 114-nucleotide unclassified non-coding RNA is filed under the name uncultured Glomeromycetes. RNAcentral's name for it is "sequence contains ITS1". The record is from RNAcentral. Lineage: Eukaryota; Fungi; Glomeromycota; Glomeromycetes.